This 504-nucleotide ribosomal RNA is filed under the name uncultured bacterium. RNAcentral's name for it is "bacterial SSU rRNA". It matches the Rfam family "Bacterial small subunit ribosomal RNA", at positions 28 to 505 of the family's 1533-position model. The record is from RNAcentral.
GAUGAACGCUAGCGACAGGCCUAACACAUGCAAGUCGAGGGGCAUCGGGGCGUAGCAAUACGCUGCCGGCGACCGGCGGAUGGGUGAGUAACGCGUAUGCAACCUACCUUCAGCAGGGGGAUAGCCCGUUGAAAGACGGAUUAAUACCCCAUAACACAGGGGCUCCGCAUGGAGAUUAUUGUUAAAGGGAUGCUUCCUUCGGGGAGUAUCCGGCUGCAGAUGGGCAUGCGUUCCAUUAGGUAGUUGGUGGGAUAAAAGCUUACCAAGCCGACGAUCUGUAGCUGGUCUGAGAGGACGACCAGCCACACUGGGACUGAGACACGGCCCAGACUCCUACGGGAGGCAGCAGUGGGGAAUUUUGGACAAUGGGCGCAAGCCUGAUCCAGCCAUGCCGCGUGCAGGAUGAAGGCCUUCGGUUGUAACUGCUUUGUACGGAACGAAAGACUCUUCUAAUAAAGAGGUCCGAUGACGGUACCGUAACGAAUAAGACACCGGCUAACUACG